Molecule: long non-coding RNA, 9197 nt
Filed under: Nicotiana tabacum (common tobacco)
Lineage: Eukaryota; Viridiplantae; Streptophyta; Magnoliopsida; Solanales; Solanaceae
Description: long non-coding RNA (NTAB_LNC006450)
Source: RNAcentral
UUAAAAUAAUUUUAUAUAUCUAUACACUUAAAUAUAAAUACUGAUAUACUGAAAAGGUUUAAUAUUUCACCCCAGUUCCCUCUGGGCCCUUCAUAUCUAAAAGGAGUUUAGGGUUUCCUCUCUUAACUCGCAUUGUUUACCAUCAGAGACACAAUUACCUCUCGGCCAAGAAGAAAACCCAUCUCAUUUUUGAAUAAAGGAGGAGAUUUAAAAGAGGUAGCAGAGGUCUAUGUCCCAGAAGUUGAAGUUUGAGUAACAUUAAGGUACAAUCGUUUUUUUUUUGUGUUGGUUUGAUUCAGUUUCUUUUUGGGUCAAUUUGACUUUUCUCUUGCACAUCAUUAUUCAUGAAAAACUCACAUUUCCCGUUAAUUCCAAUUUCUGUGCUACCGAAGCAACAAAAUAAACAAAUUCCGACAAUUUCAGUUCUUGCUGACUUUUUAUUUCUAGGGUUUGGUUGAUUCUCGCAGAUAUAGUUGCAUCGAGGUGAGCUGAAGUCACUCCUUUCUAACUUAGGGUUUCGUUAUUACACCGUUUUUGCAUUUUGUCAAACUUUUUGGCUCUCUAAACAUCUAUGGCUUUGUUGCCCUUGAAGUUUUUGGCUCUGUUCAUUUCUGCUUAUAGAACAGGGGGCCGGCCGCGACCAGUGCCACUUUUCUUCAAUUUGAGAAAAUUUCCCUGGUUGAGGUUAAGUUAAAACUAGUCCUUGUUCUCAUGGUUAUCGUUUAUGUUCUGCUUUUAAUGAUGAAUUUUAUUUAGCCACUGAAUUGUGUAUGUAUUGUUACUACAUCUAAUUAGUUGUUUUCUUACAUUUUUAUUUCUAUCAAUUCUUUGUUCUGCUUUUCUUUUGUUUAUUUCAAUUCUUGGUUUUGCUUCUCUUUCUGCUCUCGCUGUGCACAUGCUUGUGUUUUUAUUUUUGACCUUGUAUCUUUUUUCUUGGUAUUUGGUUCUUUGAUUGGUUUUGGGAGGAAGAAAGAGUAGAAGCAAUAUGAAAAAUUGAAGUACUCUGUUCUGGUUUCCUCUUUGAAUAGAAUGUAAUCUAUAUGCAUAAGAGGAAGACAGGACAUAAUGCGGAACAUAAUUUAUAUCCUUAAUAUUAAUGUGGCGAGACAAACAAUGCAGAACGUAUUUAUAUCCGGUUUUAUCAUGGAGCAAAGGGAGGAGCAUGAUUCUAAAAAUUCAAGAAAAUGCAAUACUACACUUCUUAGCUUACUAUUUUAAUGUCUUUAGUCUUAUCUUUAUAUCAGCUUCUUUAUCUAAAAUAGUUUUAUUAAGCAUCUAAAGAUGGACUUCUGGUCAUUCGUUAACCUUCUCCAUAAAUGAUGAAGAGAGAAAAGCGUGUCUAAUUUUAAAAUGAGAAAGGAGCUAUGUAUAUGCUAAGGAUUUUUAAGAACUAAAAGAGUUUAAGAUUGACACAAUUUAUGCUUUUCUUGUUUGUACCGAACUACAAGUAACCAAUAACUAUGUUCAGCAAUGUAAGCACAGCUAUACUGGGUUGUAAAGAUAUACCAUCCACAUUAAACACUUAUCUGAUGCAAGUAUAACUAUAAUAUUACAGAUUGGUGGUUUUAGAUCAAGAUACUAUACAUUCAUUGUAAGCAUGCUUUCUUAUUUUUCUUCGGUUAUGGCUCACUUUAUGUGAUGACUCAAAAUGUCAUCAUUUGAUUUACAAGUAAAUUCUGUAUUUCGAGACUUUAAAAGCCUCUUUUUAUUUUAUCCCGAUUUGCGUGCACGGUUUGGGCGUAUAUCCGGAACGCUUUUAUGUGAAAAUAUGAUGAAAAUGCUAAUUUGGCCUUUAAAAUUGAAUUUAAGUUGACUUCGGUCAAUAUUUUGGGUACACGGAUCUGAACCCGUGAUUUGACGGUCCCGGAGAGUCCGUAGAAAAAUAUGGGACUUGGACGUAUGUCCGGAAUUGAAUUUCGAGGUCCCAAGUUCGAAAAAUGAAUUUUUGAAGAAAAUUGUUUAACUGAAAUUAUAAGAGUUUUUGGAAAUUUAAAUGUGUUUGAAUUUGACGGUAUGGGCCCAUAUUUUGGUUCCGGAGCCCGAUAUAGGUCUUAUAUGGUAUUUAAGUCAAGCCUGUAGAAUUAGGUAAGAAACGAACUUGAUAUGAUGUGAAUCGGACCCUCGGUUGUUAAAAUUGGAACUAAAGAGUUCUUGAGAUUCUUUUUUGAUUUUGAUACUAAAUUCGUUGUUAAAGGUGUUAAAUUUGACGAUUUGAUCGCACGAAUAAGUCCAUAUGAUGUUUUUGAGUUAGUGUGCAUGUUUGGUUUGGAGCUACGAGGGCUCGCUUGAGUUUUGGAUAGGCUGUGGGAUGUUUUUACACUUAGGAAAAAUUGCAGGUUUGCUGUUUCUAGUGUGCUGGUGUUUUGUUCUUCGCGUUCGCGAAGGGACUCUCGCGAACGCGAAGGGUAAGUUAGUCUGAAGGAAAAUUCCUUAUACGCGAACGCGAAACACAGGUCGCGAACACGAAGCCUUGUGGGUGUUACUCUUCGCGAACGCGAAGGCCUUUUGGUCGGGGAUUGGGGGAAGGGAUUUUGUUCUACGCGAACGCGGCCAUUUGAUCGCGAAUGCGAAGGCCAUUUGGGCCUGACCCAUUGCGAACGCGAUGAAGGCCCGCCCAGUCAUUUUAAAACAGAUUUCAAAACGGGCAAAACUCAUUUUCUCCAUAUUUUCGAACUCCCAAGGCCUAGAGGCGAUUUUCUUCACACAAAUUCAUUCCCAAAGUGUUGGUAAUCAAUUUUAAACUUUUACUCUUUCAAUUACCCAAUGUUUUUCAUCAUUUUUAAUCAAAAAUCAAGAGUUUUCAUGGUAGAAAUUAGGAAUUUGGGUAAAGUUAGUGCUUUUUGAAUAAUUGAAAUUUAGACCUCGUUUAAGGGUCGAAUUUCGAAACUAAUUGCAUAUUUGGGCUCGUGGGUAAAUGAGUGAUCGGGUUUUGGUCUGAACCUUGAGUUUUAAUCAAGCGGGCCUGGGGUCGAUUUUUGACUUUUUGAGAAGAAUGAUAGAAACCUAUAAUUUGGCAUUGGGGUUGAAUUCUUUAGCAUUUAUUGAUGUUAAACUAAUUUGGGCUAGAUACGAGCAAAUUGGAGGCGAAUUCUAAAGGAAAAGCGGUGUUUGAGACUUGAGUUGGCCGUGAAAAUUCGAGGUAAGUAUUUUGGUCUAACCUUAGCUUGAGGGAAUAUGUAUUGUGCUUUAAUUGCUAUGUGCUAGUGUAGUAUACGAUGUAUAAGUGUGGUGACGAGUAUCUAUACGUCGUUGUCAAGUAUGCUCGUGAAUCUUAAAUUGUAAUCGUUGUGUUUCUUAAUAAGUAUUACAAAUGCCCAAGUGGUUGAUUCUCCGUGUUGGGCAAGAAUUAUGAUUAUUCUCUUGGUAAUUGUUUACGGUUGAGUAUUGGUUCCAGUUGAGGUUUUAUUUGUGAAGUUAAAUGUUGGUACAAGUUUGGUUAUAGCUGAUUCCCUUGUCGGGACGUAUUUCAUUCUUAUUGUUGGUUCUCUUAUCGGAAUGUGUUUAUUCUCAUUGUUGAUUCCCUUGUCGGGAUAUUGUUGUUCCUUAUUGUUCCCUUUUCGAGAUUCUUUUGUGAUUGAUGUUGAGUUGUAUAUUAGGAUUGGGUUGUACGCCACAACAAUACUAUAUAAGAUCGGGUUGCACGCCGCAACAUGGAGCAAUAAGGGAGGACAAGAGGGGUCGGGUUGCACGCCGCAACAGUGAGAUAUGAUUGGAUCGGGUUGCACGCUGUAACAGUGAUAUAUGAUUUGGAUCGGGUUCCGCGCCGCAACAAUAAAGAAUAGAAAUGGAUAUUGAUUUGUUACUAUUUCUUUGUUCUUACUGAUGCGAACUUUAAAAUGUUUUUUACGCUUUUCUACUGAGUUACUGUUGGUACAUGAUAUUUCCCCGCAGUAUGUUUCCCUUUCCAUCUUUACCUGCUAGUUUUUGUUAUUAUUACUUGUCGUAUAUGCUUUAACUGCACAAGUUUAUUUGGUAGUCUUGUCCUAGUCUCGUCACUGCUUUGUUGAGAUAGGCUCGACACUUACUAGCACAUAUGGUCGGUUGUGCUGAUAUUACACCCUGCACUGUGUGCAGAUCUCGAUACCGGAGCUUUUGGACCUUAGAGUGGUUGCUGCCUUCAGUCUAGCGGAGACCCGAGGUAGCCCUAUAGAUGUUCACAUGCCUUGGCGUCCCCUUUAUCCUUAUAUUCUGUUUUCAUUUACUUGAGAGACAGAUUGUAUCUUUCUUUCCAAACAAUUGUUUGUAGUAUUCGUAGAUGGUCCGUGAUAUUGUGACACCAGUUCUAAGUAGAGAUAUAUUUUGUAUUUUUCGUACUAUUAUUUGGCUAAGUUAUCAGAUUUCGUCUUUCGCAUUUCUUUAAUUAUUAUUAUUAUUCCGCUGUUGAUUGCAUGUUGAUUUAAAAUUGUUAAAAGGUUAAGAAAAAAAGUAAUAAGAUAUAUAAUAUCUUUAGGUUGUUUAGGUUUCACAAUUCACGGACACGUUUGGUAGAGUCUGAGGGAUCGGUACGGAGAUGUUUGUGCUUAUCCCCAGAGGCUAUAUAGUUAGGAACAGUUUCACUUCUAUUCAUCUCUUUCGUGUGGUUUGGUUUCUCAAUGCUAAUUGAAUUUCUACUCUAUUCUUUCGAGAUGACGAGAACACACGCUUCUUCAUCCACUGACCAGUAGCUCGAGCCCCUAGCGGCAGUUUCCACGAGGGGCAGAGAACGAGGUCCAGGUCGUGCUAGGGGCCGAGGAAGGGGCAGAGCUUAACCUAGUGCAGCAACAGGGUUCCUGUGCUAUGGUUCAGGCACCAAGUGUUCCACCGCCCGAUCAACCAGCUAGGGGUUAGAGUAGAGGUGCUAGAGGUAGAGGUAGAAGUCAGGCUGCUAUAGGUGGAGGCCAGCCAGCAGGAGGUCGUCCCAGGGAUGUAGCUCAGAGUGGUGGGGCCCAGCCCCGAUGUUAUGCUCUUCCAGCCAGGACCGAGGCUGAGACCUCCAAUGUAGUUAUCGCAGGUACCGUUUUGGUCUGUAGUAGAGAUGCUUCAGUUCUAUUUGAUCCAGGGUCUACAUACUCCUAUGUGUCAUCUUAUUUUGCCCUGUAUCUAGUUACGCCUAGUGAAUCUGAGUGCUCAUGUAUAUGUGUCUACACCGAUGAGUGAUUCUAUUGUGGUGGAUCGUGUCCAUCGUUCAUGUAUAGUUGUGAUUGGGGGUUUUGAGACCCGAGUAGAUCUGUUACAUUUGGAUAUGGUCGAUUUUGAUGUCAUAUUGAGGAUGGACUGGUUAUCACCCUACCACGCUAUCUUGGACUGUCAUGCCAAGAACCUUAGCCUUGUCGGGUGGAGAAGGACUCCUGGUUAUUCUACCCGUAGGGUUAUCUCAUAUAUGAAGGAUCGGCGUAUGGUUGAGAAGAGAUGUUUGGAAUAUUUGGCGUAUGUUUAUGAUUCUAGUGCCGAGGUUCCUUCUAUGGAUUAUGUGCCUGUUGCACGUGGUUUCAAGAGGUAUUUUCUGCAGACCUGUCGGGUAUGCCGCCUGAUAGGGAUAUUGACUUUUGCAUUGAUUUGGCUCCGAACACUCAUCCCAUUUCUAUUUCGUCGUAUCGUAUGGCCCCGCCAGAGUUGAAAGAAUUGAAAGAAUAGUUGCAAGACUUGCUUGAUAAAGGCUUCAUUAGACCUAGUGUCUCGCCUUGGGGUACGCUGGUGUUGUUUGUUAAGAAGAAGGAUGGAUCGAUGAAUACAUGUAUAGAUUAUCGGCAGUUGACCAAGGUCACAAUCAAGAAUAAGUAUCCAUUGCCGAGGAUUGAUGAUUUGUUUGAUUAGCUUCAGGGUGCCAAGGUGUUUUCGAAGAUUAAUUUGAGAUCUGGCUACCAUCAGUUGAGGAUUAGGGCGUCUGAUGUCCCUAAGACAACUUUUCGCACUCGGUACAAGCAUUAUGAGUUCUUAGUGAUGUCAUUUGGGUUGACAAAUGCCCCAACAACUUUCAUGGUCUUGAUGAACCGAGUGUUCAAGCCUUAUUUGGAUUCCUUCGUGAUUGUCUUCAUUGAUAAUAUUUUGAUCUAUUCCCGCAGUCGGGAGGAGCACGAGCAGCAUCUUCGAGUUGUUUUUCAGACUCUGAGGGAUAGUCAGUUGUAUGCCAAGUUUUCAAAGUGUGAGUUUUGGUCGAGUUCGGUUGCAUUAUUGGGUCAUAUUGUAUCAGUAGACGCUAUUCAGGUGGAUCCUAAGAAGAUUGCGGCAGUCAAGGACUGGCCUAAACCCACAUCAGCUACAGAGAUCCAAAGUUUCUUGGGUUUGGCGGGCUAUUACCGUCGGUUUGUGGAGGAGUUUUCAUCGAUUGCAACCCCGAUGACCAGGUUGACCUAGAAGAGUGACCAGUUCAGAUGGUCAGAUGAGUGUGAGGCGAGCUUUCAGAAGCUCAAGACAGCUUUGACUGCGAUACUAGUGUUGGUUUUGCCCACAGGUUCAGGGCCAUAUACAAUAUAUUGUGAUGCAUCGUGUAUUGGACUUGGUGCGGUACUGAUGCAGAAUGACAAGGUUAUUGCAUAUGCUUCGCGACAGCUGAAGAUCCACGAGAAGAAUUAUCCAGUUCAUGAUUUGGAGUUAGCAGUCAUUGUUCACGCGCUGAAGAUUUGAAGGCAUUAUUUGUAUGGUGUGUCAUGUGAGGUGUUCAUGGAUCACAAGAGUUUACAAUACUUAUUCAAGCAGAAGGAGCUAAAUUUGAGGCAGAGGAAGUGGUUGGAGCUGUUGAAAGACUAUGAUAUCACCAUCGUGUAUCAUCCGGGAAAGACCAAUGUGGUGGCCGAUGCAUUGAGUAGGAAAUCAGCUAGUAUGUGCAGCCUUGCGUAUAUUCCAGUCGGUGAGAGAUGACUUUCUUUGGAUGUUCAAGUUUUGGCCAAUCAGUUCGUGAGGUUGGAUGUUUCUGACCCAGCCGUGUUCUAGCUUACUCAGUCGCUCUUUCUUCAUUAUUUGAGCAUAUCCGAGAUCAGUAGUAUGAUGAUCCUCAUUUUCUUGUCCUUAGAGACAAGAUGUGGCAUAGAGGUGCCAAGCAGGUUACAGUUGGAUAUGAUGGAGUUUUGAGGAUGCAGGGUCGUAUUUGUGUGCCUAAUGUAGAUGUGCGUCGUGAGUUGAUUUUAGAGGAGGCUUAUAGUUUCUGGUAUUCUAUUCAUCCGGGCGCCGCUAAGAUGUAUCAGGAUUUGCGGCAACAUUAUUGGUGGUGAAGGGUGAAGAAGGACAUUGUUUUCUAUGUAGCUCGGUGUUUAAAUUGUCAGUAGGUAAAAUACGAGCAUUAGAGACCUGGUGAUUUAUUUCAGAAGAUUGAGAUUCCUGAGUGCAAGUGGGAGCGGAUCACUAUGGACUUUGUUGUUGGACUCCUACGGACUCAGAGGAAGUUCGAUGUCGUAUGGGUUAUUAUUGAUAGGAUGACCAAGUCAGCGUAUUUCAUUCUUGUGGUAGUCUCCUAUUAUUCCGAGAGGUUAGCUGAGAUCUAUAUUCGGGAGAUUAUUCGUCUUCAUGGUGUACCCGUGUCUAUUAUUUCUGACCGAGGUACGCAGUUCACCUCGCUUUUUUGAAGUCCGAGCACAACAUUUCAUCCCAGACUGACGGACAGUCCGAGCGUACUAUUCAAAUUUUGGAGGAUAUGCUCCGAGCUUGUGUUAUGGACUUUGGAGGUUCGUGGGAUCAGUUCUUGCCUUUAACAGAGUUUGCCUACAACAACAGCUACCAGUCGAGCAUUUAGAUGGCUCCCUAUGAGGCAUUAUAUGGUAGGCGGUGUUGGCCACUAGUUGGAUGCUUUGAGCCAGGAGAGGCUCGGUUGUGGGUACAAAUUUAGUCUAGGAUGCCUUGGAUAAGGUGAAGAUUAUUUAGGACAGGCUUCGUGCAGCUCAGUCCAGGCAGAAGAGUUACGCCGACCACAAGGUUCGUUAUAUGGCAUUUAUGGUCGGAGAACAGGUGUUGCUCCGAGUGUCGCUCAUGAAGGACGUGAUGAGAUUUGGGAAGAAGGGCAAGCUAAGCCCUAGGAUCAUUGGUCCUUUUGAGAUUCUUGAUCGAGUAGGAGAGGUGACUUAUAGACUUGCGUUGCCGCUGAGUUUAUCAGCUGUGCACCCAGUGUUUCAUGUGGCCAUGCUUCAGAAGUAUCAUGGCGAUCCAUCCCACGUGUUAGACUUCAGCACUGUCCAGUUGGACAAGGAUCUGACCGAUGAGGAAGAGUCGGUGGCCAUUCUGGACCGGCAGGUUCGUCAGUUGAGAUCGAAAAGUUACCCUUCUAUUUGUGUUUAAUGGAGAGGUCAGCCUGCUGAGGAAGCUACCUGGGAGUCUGAGUCCGAUAUGCGGAGCCGAUAUCCCCAUCUUUUCCCCGACCUAGGUACUUCUUUUCUAUGUCCGUUCGAGGAUGAAUGAUUGUUUUAGAGGUGGAGGAUGUGAUCACUUGAUUUACAAGUAAAUUCUGUAUUCUGAGGCCUUAAAAGCCUCCUAUUAUCUCACCUUGAUUUGCGUGCACGAUCCGGACAUAUAUCCGAAAUGCUUUUAUGUGAAAAUUUGAUGAAAAAUGCUAAUUUGGCCUUUAAAAUUGAAUUUAAGUUGACUUCGGUUAAUAUUUUGGGUAAACAAAUCCGGACCCGUGAUUUGACGGUUUCAGAGUGUCAGUAGAAAAUUAUGGGACUUGGGCGUAUGUCCGAAAUUGAAUUCCGAGGUCCCAAGCCUGAGAAAUGAAUUUUUGAAGAAAAUUGUUAACUGAAAUUAUAAAAGUUUUUGAAAAUUUAAAUGUGUUUGAAUUUGACGGUAUCGGCCCAUAUUUUGGUUCUGAAGCCCGGUACAGGUCUUAUAUGGUAUUUAAGUCGAGCCUGUAGAAUUUGGUAAGAAACGGAUUUGAUAUGACGUGAAUCAGACCCUCGAUUGUUAAAAUUGGAACUUAGAGUUAUUGAGAAUCUUCUUUGAUUUUGAUGCUAAAUUCGUUGUUAAAGGUGUUAAUUUGGCGAUUUGAUCGCACGAGUAAGUCCAUAUGAUGUUUUUGAGUUAGUGUACAUGUUUGGUUCGAGGGCUCGUGUGAGUUUUGGAUAGGCCACGUGAUGUUUUUAUACUUAGGAAAAAUUGCAGGUUUGCUGUUUCUGGUGUGUUGGUGUUUUGUUAUUCGCGUUCGCGAAGGGACUCUCGCGAAUGCGAAAGGUAAGUUAGUUUGAAGUAAAAUUCCUUUUACGCGAACGCGAAACAAAGGUCGCGAACACGAAGCCUUG